AAAAACUUAGGAUAAAUCAAACCAAGAGCCUUCAAAGCUCAAAAUAGGAGUUUAAACCUCCUAGUUUUUG
RNAcentral lists this transfer RNA (70 nucleotides) under Anolis porcus. RNAcentral describes it as "tRNA-Trp". It matches the Rfam family "tRNA". From Rfam's summary of the family: Transfer RNA (tRNA) molecules are approximately 80 nucleotides in length. Their secondary structure includes four short double-helical elements and three loops (D, anti-codon, and T loops). The record is from RNAcentral. Lineage: Eukaryota; Metazoa; Chordata; Lepidosauria; Squamata; Anolidae.